GCACAGCUUUAGGUUACCAGCAACAAUGCAUGAUGACUCAGAUUUCUUCACACACUCUUCAACGUAUCUUAUUUUAUGAUUUUCAAUAGAAUCGAUCCAACAGGGGAGAGGCAGUGUGAGGACUGGGAUGUUGUUUCCGGUGACGGCUGGGAAGAGGAGGAGGCAGCCAGCAGAUUGAGACAAUGAAAAGAUUCUGACGGAUGGAAUGUUGCUGUUUCUCCAUUUUUGAAGCCUUUCUUCUUUUUGAUCAUGUUUAUCCUUUAAAAUUUCACAGCGUGGUCAAAGUAGGCCCUGAAAUAUUUAGAGUCCAAGUCUGGAGCAAAGUUGCACCCUGGAUCUACAAGUGUGAUUUCCCUCAUUGUCCACUUCCCUCAACCAGGCAGGAGGAAGAGUAAACACGUCACCACUCGGCAGCAUCAUUCCAUGCUGUGGGCUCCUAGAUUUGACUUCCAAGAAUAUUACCUGCCACUCAAAUAAUAAA
Molecule: long non-coding RNA, 481 nt
Organism: Cavia porcellus (domestic guinea pig)
Lineage: Eukaryota; Metazoa; Chordata; Mammalia; Rodentia; Caviidae
Exons: 3
Source: RefSeq, a predicted model, not a curated record